UUUGGAGCUUUCAAGUUGUCAAAACAUGGUUUUCUAAUGCUCAAGUUUACUCCUUCAGCUAGUGUACAACAAUAGGAUUUGAGCAAGAAACAGGAGAUGAACUGGAUCAUGCAGGGGUAACUAAAACCACAAGCAAGAACUUGACAUUCAUCAAUGCUUAUCUACUGAAUAACGUAUAGGGGAAAGCUCAGAGGAUAUGGAGAAGGCAGUGGGAAUUGCUUUGAAUGAGACCCUAUGUUCUUGGAGGGCGAGAAAGAGCAAACCAAUGCAGCAGCUCCUUCGUUAGUCCAUCUCAAUUGCAGUACUUAUGAUGUUUUGUGCGACUAUGUUUAAACAUAUGAUUUUGAAUGAUGAACUACUUUGUAAAAUUACAGUUAUGUAUCUUUUAAUGAUCUAUAGAAGGACACAUGCUUUUAACAAA
Non-coding RNA from Camelina sativa (false flax), 421 nucleotides. The record is from RefSeq and is a predicted model, not a curated record. NCBI's taxonomy places the organism in Eukaryota, Viridiplantae, Streptophyta, Magnoliopsida, Brassicales, Brassicaceae.